RNAcentral lists this ribosomal RNA (504 nucleotides) under uncultured bacterium. RNAcentral describes it as "bacterial SSU rRNA". It matches the Rfam family "Bacterial small subunit ribosomal RNA", at positions 24 to 518 of the family's 1533-position model. The record is from RNAcentral.
UCAGGAUGAACGCUAGCGACAGGCUUAACACAUGCAAGUCGAGGGCGAGCAUAAAGUAGCAAUACUUGGUGGCGACCGGCGCACGGGUGAGUAACGUGUAUGCAACCUACCUAGUCAGAGGGGAAUAACCCGGCGAAAGUCGGACUAAUACCGCAUAAAACAGGGACACCGCAUGGUGAUAUUUGUUAAAGAAAUUCGCUGAUAGAUGGGCAUGCGGUUCCAUUAGGUAGUUGGUGAGGUAACGGCUCACCAAGCCGACGAUGGAUAGGGGAACUGAGAGGUUGGUCCCCCACACUGGUACUGAGACACGGACCAGACUCCUACGGGAGGCAGCAGUGAGGAAUAUUGGUCAAUGGGCGAGAGCCUGAACCAGCCAAGUCGCGUGAAAGGAAGAAGGAUCUAUGGUUCGUAAACUUCUUUUGCAGGGGAAUUAAAGUGCAGGACGUGUCCUGUUUUGUAUGUACCCUGAGAAUAAGGAUCGGCUAACUCCGUGCCAGCAGCAGC